Molecule: non-coding RNA, 31 nt
Filed under: Homo sapiens (human)
Lineage: Eukaryota; Metazoa; Chordata; Mammalia; Primates; Hominidae
Source: RNAcentral
UGAGACUGGAAUAUGGAGCUCAUGUGGGCUA